This is a long non-coding RNA of Amphimedon queenslandica, 551 nucleotides long. RefSeq lists it as uncharacterized. The record is from RefSeq and is a predicted model, not a curated record. The transcript is spliced from 3 exons. NCBI's taxonomy places the organism in Eukaryota, Metazoa, Porifera, Demospongiae, Haplosclerida, Niphatidae.
GCUUGUUUGAUAAUACGAUCAAACUAAUAUCAACUAUUUUGCUCCACCCAAUGCAUUCCAUUCACACUAAUUAUUAUUAUUGAUAUUUUUAGGACAAUGGAUAUCACCGACUGUCACUGGAGACAGACCACCUCCUAUUCAUCAAUUCACUUUAACAUCAAUUAAUAAUUCCAGUGCUAUAUUAUUUGGAGGUAACACUGCUAAUGGAAGUAGUAACAAUGUAUAUAUUCUUAAUUUUACUGAUACAUCAGUGAAUUGUUCAAAAUUAUCUAUUCCUAGAGGAUCAGUGCAAUGGCCUAAGGAAAGACGUGGUCAUUCCAGUGUGUUGAUUAACACUAGCUCAGGACCACACCUACUAGUGGUGGGUGGUACUACUAGAGAUAGUUGGAUAUUUGAUAUUAACAAUAAAUUAUGGAAGAAACUGGUUAAUUUACCAGUCAAUGUCACUAAUAGAUGUUGGCAUUCUCUCUCAGCCUGGAGUGUGACUCCAACCACUAACUGGAUAAUUGUGUUUGGAGGAAUCACGUCAUACACUGAUACAGCAGUUAUUG